GUUCUACUCGCUUUGGCAGUACAUAUACUAACAUCGGAACAAUACAGAGAAGAUUAGUAUGGCCCCUGUGCAAGGAUGGCGCAUAAAAUCGUGAAGCAUUCCACAAUACG
Cimex lectularius (bed bug) is the source of this 110-nucleotide small nuclear RNA. The record is from RefSeq and is a predicted model, not a curated record. Lineage: Eukaryota; Metazoa; Arthropoda; Insecta; Hemiptera; Cimicidae.